Potamilus streckersoni is the source of this 111-nucleotide non-coding RNA. NCBI's taxonomy places the organism in Eukaryota, Metazoa, Mollusca, Bivalvia, Unionida, Unionidae. The record is from the annotation of a GenBank genome assembly.
GCCCCGGUGGCGCAAUCGGUUAGCGCGCCGUACUUAUAGACAGUAUUCUCUCUGUGCUCGACACAGGACUAGGCGAUGCGGAGGUUGUGAGUUCGAUCCUCACCCGGGGCA